GGUGAGGUGGCUGAGUGGUCGAAAGCGCAUGUUUGGAGUACAUGUGUACAAUUUAUUUGUACCAUGGGUUCGAAUCCCAUCCUCACCG
Molecule: transfer RNA, 88 nt
Filed under: Candidatus Vampirococcus lugosii
Lineage: Bacteria; Candidatus Absconditibacteriota
Description: tRNA-Ser
Rfam family: tRNA
About the family: Transfer RNA (tRNA) molecules are approximately 80 nucleotides in length. Their secondary structure includes four short double-helical elements and three loops (D, anti-codon, and T loops).
Source: RNAcentral